Molecule: ribosomal RNA, 314 nt
Filed under: Eurycnema versirubra
Lineage: Eukaryota; Metazoa; Arthropoda; Insecta; Phasmatodea; Phasmatidae
Description: partial small subunit ribosomal RNA
Source: RNAcentral
GGUAUCUUAGUCUAUUUAGAGGAAUUUGUCCCUUAAUCGAUAGUCCCCGUUUAUUCUUUCUUAAUUUUGUUUAUCAAUUUGUAUAUCUCCGUUAUAAGUUUAUUUUAUAAGAAUUUAAUUUACUAUAAUUUUAAUUGAAAUUUAUUUCAGGUCAAGGUGCAGUUAAUAAUUAAGAGGUGGUGAAUUACAAUUUUAUUAUAAAUUAUGGAUUUAGGUUUGAAAUUAUUCUAAUGAAAGUGGAUUUAUUAGUAAUUUUAUUUAUAUUGGUUUUUUGAUUUAGCUCUAAGAUAAGUACACAUCGCCCGGUCGCUCUA